RNAcentral lists this ribosomal RNA (253 nucleotides) under uncultured bacterium. Its description in RNAcentral is "partial 16S ribosomal RNA". It matches the Rfam family "Bacterial small subunit ribosomal RNA", at positions 524 to 776 of the family's 1533-position model. The record is from RNAcentral.
UACGUAGGGAGCAAGCGUUGUCCGGAAUUACUGGGCGUAAAGGGCGCGUAGGUGGGCGCUUAAGUCAGGUGUGAAAACUCCGGGCUCAACCUGGAGACUGCACUUGAAACUGGGUGUCUUGAGGGCAGGAGAGGAAAGUGGAAUCCCUAGUGUAGCGGUGAAAUGCGUAGAUGUUAGGAGGAACACCAGUGGCGAAGGCGGCUUACUGGACGGCAACUGACGUUGAGGCCCGAAAGCGUGGGGAGCAAACAGG